This 447-nucleotide ribosomal RNA is filed under the name uncultured bacterium. RNAcentral describes it as "partial 16S ribosomal RNA". It matches the Rfam family "Bacterial small subunit ribosomal RNA", at positions 29 to 523 of the family's 1533-position model. The record is from RNAcentral.
AACGAACGCUGGCGGCAUGCCUAAGACAUGCAAGUCGAACGCCCCGCAAGGGGAGUGGCGAACGGGUGAGUAACGCGUGGGAACCUACCCAGCAGUUGGGGAUAACCGCGGGAAACUGCGGCUAAUACCGAAUACGUCCUAGGGGAGAAAGAUUUAUCGCUGUUGGAGGGGCCCGCGUCGGAUUAGCUAGUUGGUGAGGUAACGGCUCACCAAGGCGACGAUCCGUAGCUGGUCUGAGAGGAUGAUCAGCCACACUGGGACUUAGACACGGCCCAGACUCCUACGGGAGGCAGCAGUGGGGAAUAUUGGACAAUGGGGGCAACCCUGAUCCAGCAAUGCCGCGUGAGUGAUGAAGGCCUUAGGGUUGUAAAGCUCUUUUACCGGGGACGAUGAUGACGGUACCCGGAGAAUAAGCCCCGGCUAACUUCGUGCCAGCCGCCGCAGUAA